This is a long non-coding RNA of Oncorhynchus kisutch (coho salmon), 990 nucleotides long. RefSeq lists it as uncharacterized. The transcript has 2 exons. The record is from RefSeq and is a predicted model, not a curated record. Lineage: Eukaryota; Metazoa; Chordata; Actinopteri; Salmoniformes; Salmonidae.
UCUCUUAUCCUUACCAGUGUGUAAUGUGUGUUCCAGAUAUGAUUGUAGAGCUGGCGGGCCAUGCCCAGUUUAUCACCACUACGUUCAGACCUGAGCUUCUGGAGUCAGCCGACAAGUUCUACGGAGUCAAGUUCAGAAACAAGGUGAGUCACAUUGACGUGAUCUCGGCAGAGCAGGCGAAAGACUUUGUGGAGGACGACACUACCCAUGGUUAAGAAUAAUCAACUCUUCCUCAUCCACCUCCGUAGUGCACUGCCUAACUCUGAGCCUUCAGUCUCUCCACUCUGACAGAACUCAACCAGGACUCUAUGGUCAGCCAUUAUUGGAAUCUAUUCCCAUUCUAGCGUCAGAACUCCCAGGUCCAUCAUCUAGCGCUCAGUAGCUCCACCACUGUUCCCUCCUCUAUGACAUCGUUAUGACGACGUCCAUCGUCUUAGCGACCGAGGAGGGGAAAUAAAAGUUAAUUUUGUUUUUUUCUGGCCCGUUUUUAUUUGAUUUUUAACAAUGUUUUCAGGUGGUCAUGUUGAUGUUUGAGAUGAGGGUUGAAUUUCAGUGCUGGCGCAGCCUUUGACCUCAUUGUAUAUUGAAAAUGGAGAACUUUUCGGAUUUAAAUGCAUGUUCUUUUUUCAUUUGAAACUGUUGGUCUGUGCUGAUGUUGUGCCGAGGAUUUUUCAUCAUAAAUUGGUUGGUCACUUUGAAUCUCAAACUGUGAGGUGAAAGACAGAAAUAAUAACCCGUUUGUCAGAAUAAUCUUUUUUAAGAUAUGACAUAUUAUUAACUUGUUGUAAUGUCGUUACCAGAAAAAUGGUUUGAAACAAUCUACAUUUUUUUGUAUUCUUUCUUUUUGUUAACGGUGUCUUGGCAUUCCCUGUUGUAGGUCAUUAUCUUGUAACCAGUUAAUUCUACACUGACUGCAGCAUUUUAACUAGUUGUUCUCUCCAUAUUACUCUAUUAGAAAACAAUAAAAAUCCUAUAAGGACAUUUCCUGAA